RNAcentral lists this ribosomal RNA (773 nucleotides) under uncultured bacterium. RNAcentral describes it as "bacterial SSU rRNA". It matches the Rfam family "Bacterial small subunit ribosomal RNA", at positions 8 to 774 of the family's 1533-position model. The record is from RNAcentral.
AGAGUUUGAUCAUGGCUCAGAUUGAACGCUGGCGGAAUGCUUUACACAUGCAAGUCGAACGGCAGCACGGGUGCUUGCACCUGGUGGCGAGUGGCGAACGGGUGAGUAAUGCGUCGGAACGUACCGAGUAAUGGGGGAUAACGCAGCGAAAGUUGUGCUAAUACCGCAUACGCCCUGAGGGGGAAAGUGGGGGACCGCAAGGCCUCACGUUAUUCGAGCGGCCGACGUCUGAUUAGCUAGUUGGUGGGGUAAAGGCCUACCAAGGCGACGAUCAGUAGCGGGUCUGAGAGGAUGAUCCGCCACACUGGGACUGAGACACGGCCCAGACUCCUACGGGAGGCAGCAGUGGGGAAUUUUGGACAAUGGGGGCAACCCUGAUCCAGCCAUUCCGCGUGAGUGAAGAAGGCCUUCGGGUUGUAAAGCUCUUUCAGCAGGAACGAAACGGUACGCUCUAACAUAGUGUGCUAAUGACGGUACCUGCAGAAGAAGCACCGGCUAACUACGUGCCAGCAGCCGCGGUAAUACGUAGGGUGCGAGCGUUAAUCGGAAUUACUGGGCGUAAAGCGUGCGCAGGCGGAUUGUUAAGCAAGAUGUGAAAUCCCCGGGCUUAACCUGGGAAUGGCAUUUUGAACUGGCAGUCUAGAGUGCGUCAGAGGGGGGUGGAAUUCCACGUGUAGCAGUGAAAUGCGUAGAGAUGUGGAGGAACACCGAUGGCGAAGGCAGCCCCCUGGGAUGACACUGACGCUCAUGUACGAAAGCGUGGGUAGCAAACA